ACGUACACUCCUGCGGGAGGCAACAGUGGGGAAUAUUGGACAAUGGGCGCAAGCCUGAUCCAGCCAUGCCGCGUGAGUGAUGAAGGCCCUAGGGUUGUAAAGCUCUUUCACCGGUGAAGAUAAUGACGGUAACCGGAGAAGAAGCCCCGGCUAACUUCGUGCCAGCAGCCGCGGUAAUACGAAGGGGGCUAGCGUUGUUCGGAUUUACUGGGCGUAAAGCGCACGUAGGCGGACUAUUAAGUCAGGGGUGAAAUCCCGGGGCUCAACCCCGGAACUGCCUUUGAUACUGGUAGUCUUGAGUUCGAGAGAGGUGAGUGGAAUUCCGAGUGUAGAGGUGAAAUUCGUAGAUAUUCGGAGGAACACCAGUGGCGAAGGCGGCUCACUGGCUCGAUACUGACGCUGAGGUGCGAAAGCGUGGGGAGCAAACAGGAUUAGAUACCCCGGUAGUCCCA
RNAcentral lists this ribosomal RNA (452 nucleotides) under uncultured organism. RNAcentral describes it as "partial 16S ribosomal RNA". It matches the Rfam family "Bacterial small subunit ribosomal RNA", at positions 329 to 797 of the family's 1533-position model. The record is from RNAcentral.